UAGAUCCUUAUAAUUUUGCAAAAGGUAAUAAUUUGAUACUCUACAACAAGUUAUCGUCCUCACAACUGUCAGCCUAUCAGCUCGCUCGAAAUUCGCUUUGACAAUUUCAUAGUAUCUUCCGUCACUAAAAAGAAAUAUUCUGAUAUCGAUGGCUUUCUGACUUUUGUCCGAAAAUCGCAAGUUUUCCGGAUCCCAUCGCAACUCCAAACGCUCCAAAUUGGGACAGUUAUUGGCGAUUCCGUCCAUUAAUUGAUCCACGUGAAUGUUAACUCCUAGCCUCUCUUGAGUGCCCAUUACAAGUAUUCUGAAGUAUUAUUAAAAUUUAAAAAAAUAUUUAUUAUUUAAAUUUAAAUUAUAACAACAGAGAGAGAGAAACAGGGAAGAAACCUUUCUAAAAUUGUUGUAUUAAGUACAGAAAGACAAGGGACAAUUUAAGAUUCUGUUAAGAAGAAUACACUUAGUAUUGUUACUUUUAUUUAGCAUAAUUUUCGUGUAUAUAUAAGAAUGUAAGUCACGUUAACACUAGACAACCAAACUCAUGAAAUAGACGGGUUUUAAAUUUCUAGAUUAAAUUAGACAAAUUAUUAAGAUAAUUUUUGUCAAAUUUUUAUUCCUGAAUUAAUUAU
Molecule: long non-coding RNA, 626 nt
Filed under: Monomorium pharaonis (pharaoh ant)
Lineage: Eukaryota; Metazoa; Arthropoda; Insecta; Hymenoptera; Formicidae
Description: uncharacterized LOC114253929, transcript variant X1
Source: RNAcentral